RNAcentral lists this ribosomal RNA (478 nucleotides) under uncultured bacterium. RNAcentral describes it as "partial 16S ribosomal RNA". It matches the Rfam family "Bacterial small subunit ribosomal RNA", at positions 28 to 507 of the family's 1533-position model. The record is from RNAcentral.
GAUGAACGCUGGCGGCGUGCUUAACACAUGCAAGUCGAACGGGAAAUAUUUCAUUGAGACUUCGGUGGAUUUGAUUUAUUUCUAGUGGCGGACGGGUGAGUAACGCGUGGGUAACCUGCCUUAUACAGGGGGAUAACAGUCAGAAAUGGCUGCUAAUACCGCAUAAGCGCACAGAGCUGCAUGGCUCAGUGUGAAAAACUCCGGUGGUAUAAGAUGGACCCGCGUUGGAUUAGCUAGUUGGUGGGGUAACGGCCCACCAAGGCGACGAUCCAUAGCCGGCCUGAGAGGGUGAACGGCCACAUUGGGACUGAGACACGGCCCAGACUCCCACGGGAGGAAGCAGUGGGGAAUAUUGCACAAUGGGGGAAACCCUGAUGCAGCGACGCCGCGUGAAGGAAGAAGUAUCUCGGUAUGUAAACUUCUAUCAGCAGGGAAGAUAGUGACGGUACCUGACUAAGAAGCCCCGGCUAACUACGUG